GAAAAAUGAUGAUUAUUUCUUGUGUCUUAUGGUUGCAGUGAAGACCUCAGAUCCAACUCUGAUUUCACUCUAGUU
Cyanoderma ruficeps (rufous-capped babbler) is the source of this 75-nucleotide small nucleolar RNA. The record is from Ensembl. NCBI's taxonomy places the organism in Eukaryota, Metazoa, Chordata, Aves, Passeriformes, Timaliidae.